Molecule: ribosomal RNA, 727 nt
Filed under: Streptomyces sp.
Lineage: Bacteria; Bacillati; Actinomycetota; Actinomycetes; Kitasatosporales; Streptomycetaceae
Description: bacterial SSU rRNA
Rfam family: Bacterial small subunit ribosomal RNA
Source: RNAcentral
UCUGGGACAAGCCUUGGAAACGAGGUCUAAUACCGGAUAACACUCCCAUUCUCCUGGAUGGGGGUUAAAAGCUCCGGCGGUGAAGGAUGAGCCCGCGGCCUAUCAGCUUGUUGGUGAGGUAAUGGCUCACCAAGGCGACGACGGGUAGCCGGCCUGAGAGGGCGACCGGCCACACUGGGACUGAGACACGGCCCAGACUCCUACGGGAGGCAGCAGUGGGGAAUAUUGCACAAUGGGCGAAAGCCUGAUGCAGCGACGCCGCGUGAGGGAUGACGGCCUUCGGGUUGUAAACCUCUUUCAGCAGGGAAGAAGCGAAAGUGACGGUACCUGCAGAAGAAGCGCCGGCUAACUACGUGCCAGCAGCCGCGGUAAUACGUAGGGCGCAAGCGUUGUCCGGAAUUAUUGGGCGUAAAGAGCUCGUAGGCGGCUUGUCACGUCGAUUGUGAAAGCUCGGGGCUUAACCCCGAGUCUGCAGUCGAUACGGGCUAGCUAGAGUGUGGUAGGGGAGAUCGGAAUUCCUGGUGUAGCGGUGAAAUGCGCAGAUAUCAGGAGGAACACCGGUGGCGAAGGCGGAUCUCUGGGCCAUUACUGACGCUGAGGAGCGAAAGCGUGGGGAGCGAACAGGAUUAGAUACCCUGGUAGUCCACGCCGUAAACGGUGGGCACUAGGUGUGGGCAACAUUCCACGUUGUCCGCGCCGCAGCUAACGCAUUAAGUGCCCCGCCUGG